CCUACGGGAGGCAGCAGUGGGGAAUUUUGGACAAUGGGGGCAACCCUGAUCCAGCAAUGCCGCGUGAGUGAAGAAGGCCUUCGGGUUGUAAAGCUCUUUUGUCAGGGAAGAAACGGCGGAGACUAAUACUUUCUGCUAAUGACGGUACCUGAAGAAUAAGCACCGGCUAACUACGUGCCAGCAGCCGCGGUAAUACGUAGGGUGCAAGCGUUAAUCGGAAUUACUGGGCGUAAAGCGUGCGCAGGCGGUUGUGCAAGACCGAUGUGAAAUCCCCGGGCUUAACCUGGGAAUGGCAUUGGUGACUGUACGGCUAGAGUGUGUCAGAGGGGGGUAGAAUUCCACGUGUAGCAGUGAAAUGCGUAGAGAUGUGGAGGAAUACCGAUGGCGAAGGCAGCCCCCUGGGAUAACACUGACGCUCAUGCACGAAAGCGUGGGGAGCAAACAGGAUUAGAUACCCUGGUAGUCCACGCCCUAAACGAUGUCUACUAGUUGUCGGGUCUUCAUUGACUUGGUAACGCAGCUACGCGUGAGUAGACCGCCGUCGGGAGGUACGGUCGCGAGAAGUUAAAACGUUAAAGUUAAGAAGUUAGUACGGACGUGAGACGUAGACCGACGGACGACGACGAGGGAGGAGG
RNAcentral lists this ribosomal RNA (635 nucleotides) under uncultured bacterium. RNAcentral's name for it is "bacterial SSU rRNA". The stretch from base 1 to 540 matches the Rfam family "Bacterial small subunit ribosomal RNA", at positions 338 to 873 of the family's 1533-position model. The record is from RNAcentral.